AUUCGUAUUCGGAUGUGUGUACGCGGCGCAGGUGUGCUGAAUUAUGUGUAUUUUUUUUUUAUUUUUUUUUUUCUUAAUCCACUACUUUUCUACCAGAAAUCUUGCUACAAUCGAAAAUUUUAUAGGAACUUUCUUGUAGGGUUUUUAAUCUAGUUGUUGUAUCGAAAGGUCAUUUUUUUAUUUUUCAACUAGCUUUCUAAAUAAAUAAAAAAAAAAAAACCCUUUACUCAGGAAUCAUUAUUCGUCGGAAACGGUUUAUCGUUUACUACAGAUAUAAAUGAAAUUGGUCCGGACAUCGAGUAUCCUAACUUGUCUUUCAACUUUCCGAACCUCUUAAAACACUGCAAGCUCAACUAACA
Molecule: non-coding RNA, 359 nt
Organism: Cinara cedri
Lineage: Eukaryota; Metazoa; Arthropoda; Insecta; Hemiptera; Aphididae
Source: the annotation of a GenBank genome assembly